This 502-nucleotide ribosomal RNA is filed under the name uncultured bacterium. RNAcentral's name for it is "bacterial SSU rRNA". It matches the Rfam family "Bacterial small subunit ribosomal RNA", at positions 30 to 518 of the family's 1533-position model. The record is from RNAcentral.
UGAACGCUAGCUACAGGCUUAACACAUGCAAGUCGAGGGGCAUCGAUGGGAGUCGCUUGCGGCUCCUGAUGGCGACCGGCGCACGGGUGAGUAACGCGUAUCCAACCGUGCCCCGCGGUAGGGAACAGCCCGUAGAAAUGCGGAUUAAUGCCCUAUGCUCGUCCGUUGAUGACAUCAGAGACGGAGUAAAGAUUUAUCGCCUCGGGAUGGGGAUGCGUCCGAUUAGGCAGGCGGCGGGUAACGGCCCACCGCGCCUUCGAUCGGUAGGGGUUCUGAGAGGAAGGUCCCCCACACUGGUACUGAGACACGGACCAGACUCCUACGGGAGGCAGCAGUGAGGAAUAUUGGUCAAUGGGCGUGAGCCUGAACCAGCCAAGUAGCGUGCCAGGAUGACGGCCCUACGGGUUGUAAACUGCUUUUAUGCGGGGAUAAACGGCGCCACGCGUGGCGCUUUGCAGGUACCGCAUGAAUAAGGACCGGCUAAUUCCGUGCCAGCAGCGGC